Molecule: ribosomal RNA, 408 nt
Filed under: uncultured bacterium
Lineage: Bacteria
Description: partial 16S ribosomal RNA
Rfam family: Bacterial small subunit ribosomal RNA
Source: RNAcentral
GACGAACGCUGACGGCGUGCUUAACACAUGCAAGUCGAAGGGAGUGGCGAACGGGUGAGUAACACGUGAGUAACCUGCCCUUUUCUUUGGGAUAAGCCUGGGAAACUGGGUCUAAUACUGGAUGGAUUGGGAUGGGCUCGCGGCCUAUCAGCUUGUUGGUGGGGUUGUGGCUUAACAAGGCUUUGACGGGUAGCCGGCCUGAGGGGGUGGGUGGUCACAACGGGACUUGGAAUCGGGCCCGAAUCCCAAGGGGGGCCAGCGUGGGGGAUAUUGGACCAUGGGGGGAGGCCUGUUGAACCCAUGCCCGGUGAUUGAGGAGGCCCUUGGGGUUGUAAGUACUUUCAGCAGGGAGGACGUUACCCGCAGAAGAAGCACCGGCUAACUCCGUGCCAGCAGCCGCGGUAAUAC